This 238-nucleotide ribosomal RNA is filed under the name uncultured bacterium. RNAcentral's name for it is "partial 16S ribosomal RNA". It matches the Rfam family "Bacterial small subunit ribosomal RNA", at positions 118 to 354 of the family's 1533-position model. The record is from RNAcentral.
UGAGCAAUCUGCCCUUCUCUUCGGAAUAAGCGUUGGAAACGACGUCUAAUGCCGAAUACGACCUCCUUUCGCAUGAUCGGAGGUGGAAAGCUCCGGCGGAGAAGGAUGAGCUCGCGGCCUAUCAGCUAGUUGGUGUGGGUAACGGCCCACCAAGGCGACGACGGGUAGCCGGCCUGAGAGGGUGACCGGCCACACUGGGACUGAGACACGGCCCAGACUCCUACGGGAGGCAGCAGGG